UACAGAGGCCUCGAGCGUUAGGCGGAAUCACUGGGCUUAAAGCGUGUGUAGGUGGAUGCCUAAGUGCCUUGUGAAAUCCCACGGCUUAACCGUGGAAUUGCUGGGCAUACUGGUUGUCUUGAGCCACUCAGGGGCUACCGGAACAAAUGGUGGAGCGGUGAAAUGCGUAGAUAUCAUUUGGAACGCCAAUGGUGAAAACAGGUAGCUGGGGGUGUGCUGACACUGAGACACGAAAGCCAGGGGAGCAAACGGG
Molecule: ribosomal RNA, 253 nt
Filed under: uncultured bacterium
Lineage: Bacteria
Description: partial 16S ribosomal RNA
Rfam family: Bacterial small subunit ribosomal RNA
Source: RNAcentral